CCUACGGGAGGCAGCAGUGGGGAAUAUUGCACAAUGGGGGAAACCCUGAUGCAGCGACGCCGCGUGAGCGAAGAAGGAUCUCGGUAUGGAAAGCCCUUUCAGCAGGGAAGAAACGGACAGUACCUGACUAAGAACCCCCGGCUAACUACGUACCAGCAGCCGCGGUAAUACGUAGGGGGCAAGCGGUAUCCCGAUUCACUGGGCGGAAAGGGAGGGCAGGCGGCAGGGCAAGGCCGGCGGUAAAACCCGGGGGUCAACCCCGGGACCGCAUUGGAAACUGGCGGUCUGGCGUGGCGGAGGGGUAAGCGGAAUGCCUAGUGUAGCGGUGAAAUGCAUAGAUAUUAGGAGGAACACCAGUGGCGAAGGCGGCUUACUGGACGAUGACUGACGCUGAGGCACGAAAGCGUGGGGAGCAAACAGGAUUAGAUACCCCGGUAGUC
RNAcentral lists this ribosomal RNA (440 nucleotides) under uncultured bacterium. RNAcentral's name for it is "partial 16S ribosomal RNA". It matches the Rfam family "Bacterial small subunit ribosomal RNA", at positions 338 to 795 of the family's 1533-position model. The record is from RNAcentral.